This is a long non-coding RNA of Cavia porcellus (domestic guinea pig), 5112 nucleotides long. RefSeq lists it as uncharacterized. The transcript is spliced from 2 exons. The record is from RefSeq and is a predicted model, not a curated record. Lineage: Eukaryota; Metazoa; Chordata; Mammalia; Rodentia; Caviidae.
CCCGCCCACACGCACCAUCCAGAUCCAGAACCCGGUCUGGAGCGGCAGAGCGGGUGGGGCCCGGUUCCUCCUGCACCGCUGCGCUGUGCGCUCACUGUUCUCCGUGUGCGUGAGCACCGCCCACCCACUUGUGAACCCACUGGGCCUAGUCGCUCCAUUCCCCACCCCUCGGCCUGGUGCUGAAUCAUGAGCCCAGCAUCUCUAAAAGGCUGUGUGUAGAACAUGGUGAUACAGCUGUCAGUGAUUUUACCCUAUGAGUUCUUCACCCAAGUCACAACCUCCUGCAGGCUGGGCUUCACAGAGUCCCCAUUCACUCAAGUGUUAACUGAAGACUGACCAGUCAGGAGUGGCAACAAAGGUACUGACAGUUCAGAAUGAUGAUCUACACAAAAGUGACAAAAACUGCAGGCACCAAAAUUCAGAAAACAUUUAUUUCAGGAGUACAUUAAGUACAUCUGCUACAACACACAAUGUGUUGAAUUAUGAAGAUUCGUAUUAGUCACAACCACAUCCAUUUAUGAUCAAGCAUUGUUAUGGUUUGAAAACUGGUGGUCAACUUAAAGCCAGCUGGAUUACAUCAGCAUGCAUUGAGAGAAGAUGCUCCACCUGAGGAGGGUUGCCAGGAUAAACAGGUGGAGAAGAGAGGUGUUGGGAGGGAUUGAGGUGUUAAGGAGGCAUUAUGGGUUCUCCUACAAGUUGCUGUCUGAGCUGUUGGUUCUCUGCUUUGGUCUUCACAUCGAGCAUUGCUUCCUGGCUCCGGAGGGGAAGACAUGUGCUGCCUGGUCUCCAGGAUGAACUCACCACGCUGCUUCCUGGCAUGUACCAGACUGUGCUUGUCCUCGGAGGAGUUUGGGGCCUCCGUGUCACUGAGGACAGCUGUGGUGCCUUUCAGGACAGCCCCGCUCUUUGUUGUGAGUGUGACUUCUUGGCUCCAGUGUAGAACCCUCAUCCCACUAGCACAGCUCCUUCAUCCUGCUGGCACAGACUUUCUGGCUUCUACCACUGACCCUUGGGUCUUCCCGGCAUGAUCCGUAAAAGAGACUGGCGUGAGUCCUUCUUGUGGGCUCUGGACUUCCAGUUGGACUCAUGGAGGUGUUGUCCUGAGCUCUGGGUUUUUAAUCUGGACUCAUGUGGGACAUUGCCAUGGGGUUUAGACUCUUGACUAAAUAAUCUAUGUCGUUGGUGUUACGGAUAGAUUUCCUGCAUUCUCCGGUGUUAACUUCCGGUGACCAUUAUAAAAAUAUUAUAAACUCCAUGUCCUGAUCUGAAUUGUUCUGUGUACAACCCCUGACUACAACAAGCAUGCAUGUUGUUUGUGCAUGUGUCAGUACUCUGAAUGGUCACUUGGCAGUUUCAAGCGCAUUUGUUUACAUGGGUGUUUACUUCUCAUCAAAGGGCACUCACUUGGGUAUUUACAAUUACUUAGUUAUAGUUUAUAUUAUCAUUUAAGUAUUAAUGCAAUAUUAUUAUUAUUUUUGCUGUUUUGGGACAGUUUCAUGAUGCAGUUAAGACCGGCCUUGAACUCAUUUUGAAGCCCAGGCUGGUCUCAAACUCAAAAUGAUGCACCUGCCUCAGCCUCCUAAAUGUGUACCACCAUGCCCAGGAACGCAUUAAUUUGAUAUUUGCAUCAUGUGUUACAACAGGGGUUUAUUUUUGGAGGAGGGCUUAUAUUAUACACAUCUUGAAAAAUCAGGUGAGGUCUUACUUUCCAGGGAGGUUUUAUUUUGCGGAAUCAGGGUAGCUGUUCUGGUUACUUCAGCACUGUGAACACUGUAACCCAAGCUUACAUUAUAGUUUUAAAGGAGACCAUGUUCAACAGAACGGCAUUCCCCAACACUAACAGAACCCUGGAAGACAAAUUAUCUCAUCCCUCUACCUAUGAACUGAAUUCACAGAGCAAAACGUAGCAUGGUCUACUUCACUCUGUAUUCCUUUACUCUAAUUCUCAGCUCCCAUUCCAACUAAAAGGCCCUUUCAUUUAAAAAAAUAAGUAUAAUGGAUUCCUGUAAUGGAUUCUGCUGUUACGGAUUCUAGAAGGAAGUGGAGAUGGAGAAGGAAGAGGAGGAACAGGGAGGGGGAGGAAAAGAAAAGGAUAUAAUUCAAUAUCUAUUCAAAAUUGAAAGUUGAUCUUUUUAAAAAACACCUUCCCUCUGUAAUUAAUAAGUAGUCAUCAAGGGCUGGGGAUUUAGCUCAGCGGCAUAAAUGCCUGCCUUGCAAGCAGGCGGUCUUGAGUUCGAUCCCCAGUACCGAUAAAAAGAAAAAAGAAAAAAAAUAAGUAGUCAUCAGAAAAAUACUCCAAGACUGUGUAUUACACAAAAGCUUCAGUAAAUACCUCUGAUACGUUGGCUUUUGGGGGGUUUUUUGGUACUGUUGGCCAAAUUUUCAACUAAUGAUUUUAGCAUCCACUGGUAUCCUUGCCUGAAGCAAUUUCACAGUAUUUAUUUCAAAUGGGAAUUUUUAAGUAAUCUUACAAUUUCUUUUAUAUUUUAUAAUUUAUAGCUCCCAUUUACUUUUUAACCUUUAUCGAGUAUCAAUGUGAGUUAAUGAAAUCGUAAAAACAAUUUUUGACUGUAUUAUUCAUUACUGUCCUUUUUCUUUUUAAUGCUCAUAUUCCUUAAACUAACCAAAUAAGAGCCCCUUUGAGUCAGCUCCUAUGUACCCCUUACAUAUGCCUAAUUUGCCUUCAAGCAUCUCCUUGUUUUCUGGCACCAGGAAACAUUUCAAGUUUUCCUAAUAUUUUCCCUACCUCAGAACUAGAAUUAUCAUUCCUCUGAGAUACCUAGCUCCUUAUCAUGAAAAAGGGUAUUUAGAAAUCAAGAUCUGAAUGCUAGUGUAUGCUUACUGGUAGCUGAAGUCUCUUUCUGGACAUUGCUACGUACUGCUCUGUUAUCCACAUUAUUAGAACACAUUUAUUUUUUUUAAAUCACACAUCUAAUAAACUGAGAAAAUAGUUUCAACAAUUUGAAAAUGCAAAUAUACAGUGUUAUUUAUUGCAUAAUUUUUAAAAUGUAAAAUACUGUAGACAAGCUAAAGUCUAAGCAGAAGAGUGGUUAAAAAUACUAUAAUAAACCUGCAGUGGGAUAUUACAUAGCUAUAAGACAAGAAUACAGAUCUUUAUGAAGUGAUAAAGGAAUUUCUGGUCUGUAGAUGGAAGAAAACCAAAAGCCUAAUAAUACACCUUUCCCAUACAAAACGAAAAGGUAUAGAAAAAGUUUCUUUGCAUCUGUGCAAAAUAAAUACAGCAAGGAUAAACUAGAAGCCAAUGAGGUUGGUUACCUAGGAGAGAGGAACAGGCUGAAACAAUGGGGGAACGGGAACAGGAUAGCAGGGUACCAGACACUUUUCUAGAUAUAACUUGCUGGUAUAACUUUAGCUCUUAAGAUUAUGUGACUAUUUCACAUUCUCCAAAAUAAAUAAACAACUAAUAUUAACCAGGCCAUAGAGAGAAAUAAAAGAACUGCAUACAGUCUUUUAAAAAGUGAAUCCAACUGUAUUACAGGUAAAUAAUAUUUAAGUACAUUGAAGGAUAUAGAAAUAAAAAACCUGAGGAAUUUAGAAAAUAAUACUUUUACUGUAUGCUACAAGAAUAAGGACAAAAGAACUUUACGCAAGUAUUGUACUCUUAAGAUUUUUUGGUCCCAGCAUAUAUAGGUUAGAGGUUAUGAAAUUACUUUACGUAUGGUUAGGAUUGAACAAAUGUAUGUUACAUAAUGAGCACUGACAUUCUCACGGUUGGGGAUAAAGUUGCAACAAGGAAAGGAAGAGAAGGAGGAUAGAAUUUACUGUGACACUGAAUUGAAAUAAGUAAUUAGUUUAAUACUAGAGAAAGAAGGGAAACAGACAUUGGAAAACAACCCUCAGACUUUGUCACAAGGACCAAGGUUGCAGUCUGCGGUCCUCAAUGUGCUGGCUUCUUUUCCAAUUCUGGCUACUAUCAUGGGCCCCAAAACAGCAUUUGCCAGUGUCAUCAGGGGCAGAUAACCACGCCAAGAGAUAGAAAAGGCAACUUGCCUCUUGUGUACAUUCUCAAAAGCAAGACUAGCUUCCAGAAGCAUUGCACCAGGCUCUACCUCACAUGUCACUGUCUAGAAUUGUCCAAGCCUAAAGCCUUCCUUUAACAAGAGAAAUAAAUCUAGAUAGUGAUGGCAAACAUUUUAGAGACUGAGUGCCUAAACUGCAACCCAAAACCCACAUAUUUAUCACAAAGUGCCAACACUGUACUGUAAUUAAACCUGAAUGCUAAGGUUUAGUUCAGAAAAAACAACUCAUACAUUAACAUCUUGUGUAUUAAAAAAAAACCACAAGAACAGAGUUUUCAAUGAUUUGAAAGGUAAAACUCUGCAUUUGGUGUGCUUUUGCACAAUUAAUGUAUCCCUGUUAUAUGCAUGCUGAUAAUCUGUCAAAUCUCAGUGGGGGUGACUUGGCUUGUGUACUGACAGACAGGGCUUUGGUGCGCCACAGGUUCUCCACCACUGAGCUGGACCAAUCAUGAUUUCCCUCACCCUGCAUGAGCUAGAGGAAGGUUUCAACCUACUGGUGGACAUGGCCACAGGGCAAAGAUCAACAAAACUGUGAUUCCAACAGUAAGGGAAGAGGAGAGGAGAUAUGUAUUGCGCCCAAUACCCAGGGUGAUAAUCAGUGCUUUCAUUUGCCAUUUCCCUCUCCUAACACCUGAUGUGGUGGCAUGACCAAAACUUUGCUCCCAUAGGCUCUAAGUCCUUAGUGGUCACUUUACUGGGUGGCCACAGGUUCCCACUGUCCAGUAAUGUAAACAGUCAGCAGCCCUCUGCUGCAUGCCUGGAUUCCAGAGAUACUCUUCCCGUUUCCUCUGUGGGACAACCACCAAGUUCCCUGUGGUCAUUAGGAUUGCACACCCAAACCAGUACGAUGUCCCCGUCUAUUGGUUCAGUGGUCUGGAGACCUCGAGAUGACCAGGUGAUAGUUUCAAUUUCCUAUUUAAUAGAAUUGUGGCUGUAUAAUAUGGGGAAGUCCCUUGGGUACUAAGGCUUUUAAAACAUGUCAACUCCCAUUUGUUGGUUGGUUUAUUUCAUUAACUUCAAAUAAUGAUAUUAGAAACUAAGAACGAUGAACAAUAAAUAUGCAAGAGAACUA